RNAcentral lists this ribosomal RNA (324 nucleotides) under uncultured eukaryote. RNAcentral describes it as "partial 18S ribosomal RNA". It matches the Rfam family "Eukaryotic small subunit ribosomal RNA", at positions 1470 to 1796 of the family's 1831-position model. The record is from RNAcentral.
CCCUUAGAUGUUCUGGGCCGCGCGCGCUACACUGAAGGGAUCAGCGUGUUUUCCCUUUCCGAGAGGAACGGGUAACCCGCUGAACCCCCUUCGUGGUAGGGAUCGGAGCUUGCAAUUGUUCUCCGUGAACCAGGAAUUCCCAGUAAGCGCAAGUCAUAAGCUUGCGUUGAUUACGUCCCUGCCCUUUGUACACACCGCCCGUCGCUACUACCGAUUGAACGUUUUAGUGAGGUAUUUGGACUGGGCCUUGGGAGGUUUCGGCCUCCCUUGUUGCUCGGAAAGACUCCCAAACUUGAGCGUUUAGAGGAAGUAAAAGUCGUAACA